Molecule: ribosomal RNA, 405 nt
Filed under: uncultured bacterium
Lineage: Bacteria
Description: bacterial SSU rRNA
Rfam family: Bacterial small subunit ribosomal RNA
Source: RNAcentral
GUACCUGACUAAGAAGCCCCGGCUAACUACGUGCCAGCAGCCGCGGUAAUACGUAGGGGGCAAGCGUUAUCCGGAUUUACUGGGUGUAAAGGGAGCGUAGACGGCAUUGCAAGCCAGAUGUGAAAGCCCGGGGCUCAACCCCGGGACUGCAUUUGGAACUGCAGAGCUAGAGUGUCGGAGAGGCAAGUGGAAUUCCUAGUGUAGCGGUGAAAUGCGUAGAUAUUAGGAGGAACACCAGUGGCGAAGGCGGCUUGCUGGACGAUGACUGACGUUGAGGCUCGAAAGCGUGGGGAGCAAACAGGAUUAGAUACCCUGGUAGUCCACGCCGUAAACGAUGACUACUAGGUGUCGGGUGGCAAAGCCAUUCGGUGCCGCAGCAAACGCAAUAAGUAGUCCACCUGGGGA